UAAAUAGGGUCUGGUAGGGCAGGUGUACACUCCUGUGUCGUGGUGCAAGAGAAUCAGCAUUUAUGUCACUCUGUUCUUGCUUUAUGUCAAGUCAGAUCAGGUGCAAUCAUGAUAUCCUUAACAACUGAAUAAACUACUGAAAUCAAUUUGUGGCAGUAAUAUCAGCCCCGCUUACCUGAGGUACGUCAGCGUCCUGAAGCAGAGCAUCAGCUGAGGAGUAUCAAUCCAAAAUGGAGAAUGCCGCUCUGCAGAUAGAUGUAACAACACAAGACUGAGAUUCCUUUCUCAUGCAGAGGACUGGGUUGCUGGGAAGCUAUUAGUUAUUAUCAGUUAUUAGUGCAGUGGAAGUGAGACAGUCAUGCCCUGGAGAAAAAGUGAGGACAUGGGGCAGGUGCAAAACCACAGGCAGUGCAGGAGCACGGGGCAGGUGUAAAAUGGGGAUGGGGGUGUGUGCUGAGGGGAGAUUCCUGCCGGCUGCAGAGGCGGGAAAAAGCAGCUACGCCGUGAGGGAGCAGCCGCCAUCUUGACCGGUGGUGAGGGGCUGUUCCCCAAUGAUGAAGACCUCUGUCUCCAUGUGCAAGCAGUUCUGAGGAAGAAGAGUGUUCUGGCUUGGUGAGAGCUGCCUGCCUCACACCCAGCAGAUGAGAACAGAGUCAUCAUCUCUGGAAGAAGUUGUCACAUUGCGAUCUAGAUCUACGAGGGGACCUGUCUUUGGUGGCAGUGGUGUCUUAUCUCCCGUGAGUUAGCAUCAGAUGAAGCUUGCUGACAGCAUAAUGGCAGGGAAAACCUCCGACGGCUCCAUCAAAUGGCAGCUCUGCUACGACAUCUCGGCCAGAACUUGGUGGAUGGUGAGUUGGCAGCAGGGCUGCUUUUUUUUUCUCCCUUUUCUACUUUCCCUCCCUCUUUGACAAAAUGUCCCAGACCUCACAUUUAUCAAAUUAACAUUUGAUUUUUUUCACACUCUUCAGUAGAGCAGCCUCACACUUGUCCCACUUGUGUGCUUUCCCCUGUGUAACAGGAGACCGUUAAUGUGCACUGCAGUUUCCACAGGGAAGCUUUUUCAAUUCUCCUUAAAGAGGAGAAAAAACAAAACAAAACAAAACAAAAAACAUGCAAAGAAGUAGUUUGCAAAAGCCUUGUGCAGAGUAACUUGUCACAGCCGGCUGCCUAGCGCUCACUUUGUUUUACUUUAUCUGCUGCUUUCAAGCGUCCGUGUGCAUGUGCGUUUUUUACCGUGCAAUAUUUUGUAAAGAGGGGAGGUGGAAAGUUCAUUCCGCUGCAGAGCGAGUCGGUGGCUGCAAAAGCCUGGACCGGUGCGGGAGUGUCGUGGUGUAAAACCAUCACGUGUGCGGGGAGCGCGUUUUGCGAGGUGCUGCCACAGACCCCGCUCUCACUUCUCCCUCCGCUUGUUUACGUGAGAACAGGUUACGGGGCUUCGCUGACCUGGAGCCAUGUGUCACAGAUCCCACUGAGCCCAGCUCAGACUGCUUUGGGGCGCAAUUAAAGUUUCAAUAAAGUCCCAACGUGCUCCGUAGAACGAGUUAACUAGCAUGUCAUGGUCAGCCGGGCCAGACAACCUUUGACAUCUUGAAUCUAUAAGAGGUAGGGUGAGUUGGGAGGAUGCACAAUAGCCCAUUGUGGCAGAAGAUGCAAGUCCUGUUGCGAGGAAGAGAGUCCUCAAAUCAUUACUGCCCUCGUUAGCGUGUUGUCCGUUAGGGAUUAAUUCGUUAGCAGCGCAUUUUUAGUUUUCUGUAAUUAUUAUUCUUGUGGCAAGCGUGAAUUCUUCCAGUGAGAGGAAAAGUUUGCUGCCAGGACAAUGAAUGUAUUAUCCGCUCCUAACUGGACCGUGAACCUCAGCUCGUUUCACAUAGAUAUCAGUUAAAAAAGGACCGGCGAGUGGAAUUACAAAACAAGGCAUGAUCACUUUCAUUGUAAGAUACGCUGAAACAAGCCGGGUCUCUCCCUCCCCCUCGCCGCCCCGGACCAAUUUUGGUAUCAUUUGGAAAGUUUAAGACCUCUGAGGACUUGAAAGACUUUUAAAAGUGAGAUCCGGAAGGUUUUUAUUCUGCAGCUUGGUGGUGGCCAUUGUGUAUAUCAUGUGGCUUGUAUUUAAAGGUGUUUGGGCUCGGGUUUGUCAGUUUUGUUUUGUCUAAAGUCUUAAUUUUUUAACCGGCUAUUAGAGGUUUGCCAGCGGUUGCCAGAGAAAUGUAACAUGCAGCUUUUGGUUAACAAGGAUAGAGGAGGCUAACCACUUUCUUAUAGUACUGAUUUUCCAAUUAGACUUUCUGCCAGGGGAAGUUGGAGGGGGAAGGGGUAUUUGCAUGCAUAUAAACUGUUGACUAUUCAUGUGACUUUUUUUAGCUUGUUAAACCCCUGUAAAUAAGUCUAUUGAUUCUCAGUUAUCAUUUUCAAAGCAAAGUUUUAGACUGCCUGUUUUAAACCCACCGUUUAUCUCGUGCUGUGAUUUUGCCUUAUUCUUAGCUAUCUGUAUAUUUUAUUACCGCUCCUCCUUUAUUCUCUAUCGGCUGCUUUUAUGAUGAGGUAUGUCAAUGUUUAUUAUUUAAUAAUAUCCUCAAAUGCUACUAGGCAGUUAUUGUCACCCUUUAGAAAGGAUCCGAGGAAGUUUCAUUUCAGUCACAUUUAUUUCACAGAUGUUUUAGUACCGUGAAUAUAAUAUGUAAAAAUGCUGGAAACAUUUAGUAAUGCACUUGCCUAAAAAUAAACAGUUUUAUAACCACACAUGCUGUUGUUUAGAUUAAACAUUGCCGAAAA
Phasianus colchicus (ring-necked pheasant) is the source of this 2772-nucleotide long non-coding RNA. RefSeq lists it as uncharacterized. The record is from RefSeq and is a predicted model, not a curated record. Lineage: Eukaryota; Metazoa; Chordata; Aves; Galliformes; Phasianidae.